Molecule: transfer RNA, 75 nt
Filed under: Gloeobacterales cyanobacterium ES-bin-313
Lineage: Bacteria; Bacillati; Cyanobacteriota; Cyanophyceae; Gloeobacterales
Rfam family: tRNA
About the family: Transfer RNA (tRNA) molecules are approximately 80 nucleotides in length.
Source: Rfam by way of RNAcentral
GUCCCUGUAGCCCAAUUGGUAGAGGCUGCGAACUUAAACCUCGUUUACGUGUCGGUUCGAGUCCGACCGGGGACA